UACGUAGGGGGCGAGCGUUGUCCGGAAUCAUUGGGCGUAAAGCGCGUGUAGGCGGCUUCGUAAGUCCGUUGUGAAAGUCCAGGGCUCAACCCUGGAAUGCCGAUGGAUACUGCGGAGCUAGAGUCCGGAAGAGGCGAGUGGAAUUCCUGGUGUAGCGGUGAAAUGCGCAGAUAUCAGGAGGAACACCAAUGGCGAAGGCAGCUCGCUGGGACGGUACUGACGCUGAGACGCGAAAGCGUGGGGAGCAAACAGG
Molecule: ribosomal RNA, 253 nt
Filed under: uncultured bacterium
Lineage: Bacteria
Description: partial 16S ribosomal RNA
Rfam family: Bacterial small subunit ribosomal RNA
Source: RNAcentral